GGGAAGUACUAUGCCUUGGCUCCCACGUGGUCGCAACCAUUGCUUUGUAUCCGUCGAUGGACUUCCCUGCUGUACCACAUCACUGGGGUGCAUCGAUGGGAAGAAGGGAGCAGUGAGCACACCUGUCUCCACCCCCCCUUGUCUGAUGAGGAGCAAGAGAGAGGGAGGCAACAGGCCACAACUAAAGCAGGUGAACUCUGUUGGUCCUUCCCAUAUUCCAGGCAGUCAGGGGAUUGAGUGUCAAAGCCCAUCUACCAGAAGACGACACAGACCUUCAGAAGGACCCUAAUUGA
This is a long non-coding RNA of Engraulis encrasicolus (European anchovy), 293 nucleotides long. RefSeq lists it as uncharacterized. The transcript has 3 exons. The record is from RefSeq and is a predicted model, not a curated record. Lineage: Eukaryota; Metazoa; Chordata; Actinopteri; Clupeiformes; Engraulidae.